GAUUAUUUAUAAUCGGGAUAGUGGCGAAAGGGUUAGUAAUAGAUAGGUAACGUACCCUGUGCUUCGGAAUAGCGUCAUUCGCCUUCGGGCGAAUUUCCGAAAGGGACGGUAAUACCGAAUAAUAUCAGUUGUCGAUGGGCAACUGAUCAAAGAUUUAUCGGCAUUGGAGCGGCCUAUCUCCUAUCAGCUUGUUGGUGAGGUAACGGCUCACCAAGGCAGCGACGGGUAGCGGGACUGAGAGGUUGGCCCGCAACAUCGGGACUGAGACACUGCCCGGACCUCCACGGAGGGCUGCAGUAACGAAUCUUGCGCAAUGGGCGAAAGCCUGACGCAGCGACGCCGCGUGCGGGAGGAAGUCCUUCGGGAUGUAAACCGCUGUCAGGGGUAAGAAAGUCCGCUUCGGCGGAUUGAUCUAACCCAAAGGAAGUCACGGCUAACUUCGUGCCAGCAGCCGCGGUAAGACGAAGGUGGCGAGCGUUGUUCGGUGUUACUGGGCUUAAAGCGUGUGUAGGCGGGUUGGUUAGCGUCUUGUGAAAUCCCUCGGCUUAACCGAGGAAUGGCUGGGCGAACUGCCAACCUUGAGGCAGGCAGGGGCGCAUGGAACUCUUGGUGGAGCGGUGGAAUGCGUAGAUAUCAAGAGGAACGCCGAUGGAGAAAUCAGUGCGCUGGGCCUGUCCUGACGCUGAUACACGAAAGCGUGGGGAGCGAACGGGAUUAGAUACCCCGGUAGUCCACGCUGUAAACGAUGUCUACU
This 754-nucleotide ribosomal RNA is filed under the name uncultured bacterium. RNAcentral describes it as "bacterial SSU rRNA". It matches the Rfam family "Bacterial small subunit ribosomal RNA", at positions 74 to 817 of the family's 1533-position model. The record is from RNAcentral.